GAUGAACGCUAGCGGCAGGCCUAACACAUGCAAGUCGAGGGGCAUCGCGGUGCAGCAAUGCACUGGCGGCGACCGGCGUACGGGUGCGUAACGCGUAUGCAACCUGCCCCGCACCGGGGGAUAGCCCGCCGAAAGGCGGAUUAAUACCCCAUGGUCCCGGGGGCCCGCAUGGGCAUCCGGGUAAAGCCUUGGCGGUGCGGGAUGGGCAUGCGUGCCAUUAGCUGGCUGGUGGGGUAACGGCCCACCAGGGCAACGAUGGCUAGGGGGUCUGAGAGGAUGGUCCCCCACACUGGUACUGAGACACGGACCAGACUCCUACGGGAGGCAGCAGUGAGGAAUAUUGGUCAAUGGGCGGAAGCCUGAACCAGCCAUGCCGCGUGCGGGAUGAAGGCCCUACGGGUUGUAAACUUCUUUUGUACGGGAAAAACUCCUCUACGUGUAGAGGACUGAUGGUACCGUAAGAAUAAGCACCGGCUAACUCCGUG
This 485-nucleotide ribosomal RNA is filed under the name uncultured bacterium. RNAcentral describes it as "bacterial SSU rRNA". It matches the Rfam family "Bacterial small subunit ribosomal RNA", at positions 28 to 507 of the family's 1533-position model. The record is from RNAcentral.